Molecule: long non-coding RNA, 625 nt
Organism: Oxyura jamaicensis (ruddy duck)
Lineage: Eukaryota; Metazoa; Chordata; Aves; Anseriformes; Anatidae
Exons: 3
Source: RefSeq, a predicted model, not a curated record
UCGCGAGCUGUUUUGAAAGGUUUCAUGCAAAACAUAUGCUCUACUAAAAAUAAUAUCAUCGGCGCGAUUAAAACAAAAGAAAACAAAACAACGCAUAAAAGCAUGCAGCCUUGCUCUUGGAAACCACCUCCGGUGUCGCUGCUCUUCCCAGCACUCCCUGCCCGCGGGCAUCCUUCGCCCCACACCUGCCCGCAGCUGGGUCACCCUUGAAGGGGGCUGGGGGUCCCCGAUCCUCGCGCUGCAAAACUCCGCUAGUAAAGGCAAAAUGAAACGAAAGAUCACGUUAACAUGACAUGAGGUUUAUUAUAGGUCUGCUUAGAAUGAAGAGAGACAUAUCCUGAAUUUCCCCAAAGCCUAUGCUGGGAAAAUGAAGACUUCUUGGCGUUAUAAGUAAAUCCGUCUGCAGAAUCGAAGCAGCACCAACAUUCAAAAAAACUGAAGAGGAAAAUACAACAAAACACAACAAUCUCUUUUUUUAUUCUUAUUCUUAUUAUUUAUGUAAAUCAGGUCAUCACUGGACAAGAAACCAAUUUCUACCCAUUACCAUAACAGCUUGUCUAUAAAGAACAGAAAAGAUUCAGAUAGGAUACUAUCUAGUCAGGCGUUUUUUUUUUUUUUGUCGGUU